This 322-nucleotide ribosomal RNA is filed under the name uncultured eukaryote. RNAcentral describes it as "partial 18S ribosomal RNA". It matches the Rfam family "Eukaryotic small subunit ribosomal RNA", at positions 1470 to 1796 of the family's 1831-position model. The record is from RNAcentral.
CCCUUAGAUGUUCUGGGCCGCACGCGUGCUACACUGAGUGGAUCAGCGGGUCAGGUUACGCGAGAGCGUUUCCUAAUCUUCAAAUCCGCUCGUGAUGGGGAUUGACGGUUGCAAUUUUCCGUCAUGAACGAGGAAUACCUUGUAAGCGCGGGUCAUCAUCCCGCGCUGAAUACGUCCCUGCCCUUUGUACACGCCGCCCGUCGCUCCUACCGAUUGAGUGGUCCGGUGAGGCUUUGGGAUCUAAGCGAAAAGAGCGUUUCGCUCCUUUUGCUGGGAGAACUCAGUCGAACCUUAUCAUUUAGAGGAAGGAGAAGUCGUAACA